GAGUUUGAUCCUGGCUCAGGAUGAACGCUGGCGGCGUGCCUAAUACAUGCAAGUCGAGCGAACGGACGAGAAGCUUGCUUCUCUGAUGUUAGCGGCGGACGGGUGAGUAACACGUGGAUAACCUACCUAUAAGACUGGGAUAACUUCGGGAAACCGGAGCUAAUACCGGAUAAUAUUUUGAACCGCAUGGUUCAAAAGUGAAAGACGGUCUUGCUGUCACUUAUAGAUGGAUCCGCGCUGCAUUAGCUAGUUGGUAAGGUAACGGCUUACCAAGGCAACGAUGCAUAGCCGACCUGAGAGGGUGAUCGGCCACACUGGAACUGAGACACGGUCCAGACUCCUACGGGAGGCAGCAGUAGGGAAUCUUCCGCAAUGGGCGAAAGCCUGACGGAGCAACGCCGCGUGAGUGAUGAAGGUCUUCGGAUCGUAAAACUCUGUUAUUAAGGAAGAACAUAUGUGUAAGUAACUGUGCACAUCUUGACGGUACCUAAUCAGAAAGCCACGGCUAACUACGUGCCAGCAGCCGCGGUAAUACGUAGGUGGCAAGCGUUAUCCGGAAUUAUUGGGCGUAAAGCGCGCGUAGGCGGUUUUUUAAGUCUGAUGUGAAAGCCCACGGCUCAACCGUGGAGGGUCAUUGGAAACUGGAAAACUUGAGUGCAGAAGAGGAAAGUGGAAUUCCAUGUGUAGCGGUGAAAUGCGCAGAGAUAUGGAGGAACACCAGUGGCGAAGGCGACUUUCUGGUCUGUAACUGACGCUGAUGUGCGAAAGCGUGGGGAUCAAACAGGAUUAGAUACCCUGGUAGUCCACGCCGUAAACGAUGAGUGCUAAGUGUUAGGGGUUUCCGCCCCUUAGUGCUGCAGCUAACGCAUUAAGCACUCCGCCUGGGGAGUACGACCGCAAGGUUGAAACUCAAAGGAAUUGACGGGGACCCGCACAAGCGGUGGAGCAUGUGGUUUAAUUCGAAGCAACGCGAAGAACCUUACCAAAUCUUGACAUCCUUUGACAACUCUAGAGAUAGAGCUUUCCCCUUCGGGGGACAAAGUGACAGGUGGUGCAUGGUUGUCGUCAGCUCGUGUCGUGAGAUGUUGGGUUAAGUCCCGCAACGAGCGCAACCCUUAAGCUUAGUUGCCAUCAUUAAGUUGGGCACUCUAAGUUGACUGCCGGUGACAAACCGGAGGAAGGUGGGGAUGACGUCAAAUCAUCAUGCCCCUUAUGAUUUGGGCUACACACGUGCUACAAUGGACAAUACAAAGGGCAGCGAAACCGUGAGGUCAAGCAAAUCCCAUAAAGUUGUUCUCAGUUCGGAUUGUAGUCUGCAACUCGACUACAUGAAGCUGGAAUCGCUAGUAAUCGUAGAUCAGCAUGCUACGGUGAAUACGUUCCCGGGUCUUGUACACACCGCCCGUCACACCACGAGAGUUUGUAACACCCGAAGCCGGUGGAGUAACCUUUUAGGAGCUAGCCGUCGAAGGUGGGACAAAUGAUUGGGGUGAAGUCGUAACAAGGUAGCCGUAUCGGAAGGUGCGGCUGGAUCACC
Molecule: ribosomal RNA, 1537 nt
Filed under: Staphylococcus aureus subsp. aureus CIG1213
Lineage: Bacteria; Bacillati; Bacillota; Bacilli; Caryophanales; Staphylococcaceae
Description: 16S ribosomal RNA
Rfam family: Bacterial small subunit ribosomal RNA
Source: RNAcentral